This 179-nucleotide non-coding RNA is filed under the name bovine gut metagenome. RNAcentral's name for it is "Lysine riboswitch". It matches the Rfam family "Lysine riboswitch aptamer". From Rfam's summary of the family: Riboswitches are metabolite binding domains within certain messenger RNAs that serve as precision sensors for their corresponding targets. Allosteric rearrangement of mRNA structure is mediated by ligand binding, and this results in modulation of gene expression. The record is from RNAcentral.
UGAUAGAGGCGCGGUCUUCAUCAGUAGCGUGAUCCGCUGCAGCAGACGCAGCACGUGAAAGGGGAGUCCGCCGAAGUAUCACAGAACGUCUGGCUGCCUGUGAUGCUGGGCUGACGGGAAAGACCCGGCAGACUGUCAUUAUGCCCGCCCCCGGGGCCGGACAUGUGGAGCGCUAUUCA